GCCCAAUUUAUGCCAUGUAAGUGCCAGUGUGUAGGGUAGAUGGUAGCUGUUUACUGCGUUGAUGAUAUUGGUCUUACUUAACCAAGCUUUAACCCAUGCUUGAGUGAUAGCUGUAAAGGUAGAUCAAUGGUGUUGUAUAGUAAGAAAAAUCCUCUGAGGGUAUGAGGGAGUUGAGACUUGGGGUAGCGGAGGUGUGUGGUGUCAAUAAGUCUAUGGUUAGUCUUUGUUUAA
This is a non-coding RNA of Pelobates cultripes (western spadefoot toad), 231 nucleotides long. The record is from the annotation of a GenBank genome assembly. Lineage: Eukaryota; Metazoa; Chordata; Amphibia; Anura; Pelobatidae.